This 269-nucleotide ribosomal RNA is filed under the name uncultured bacterium. RNAcentral's name for it is "partial 16S ribosomal RNA". It matches the Rfam family "Bacterial small subunit ribosomal RNA", at positions 85 to 354 of the family's 1533-position model. The record is from RNAcentral.
UGGGACCCUAGUGGCGGACGGGUGAGUAACGCGUGGGUAACCUGCCCCAUACCGGGGGAUAACACUUAGAAAUAGGUGCUAAUACCGCAUAAGCGCACGGUACUGCAUGGUACAGUGUGAAAAACUCCGGUGGUAUGGGAUGGACCCGCGUCUGAUUAGCUUGUUGGCGGGGUAACGGCCCACCAAGGCGACGAUCAGUAGCCGGCCUGAGAGGGCGGACGGCCACAUUGGGACUGAGACACGGCCCAAACUCCUACGGAAGGCAGCAG